RNAcentral lists this ribosomal RNA (480 nucleotides) under uncultured bacterium. RNAcentral's name for it is "partial 16S ribosomal RNA". It matches the Rfam family "Bacterial small subunit ribosomal RNA", at positions 28 to 523 of the family's 1533-position model. The record is from RNAcentral.
GACGAACGCUGGCGGCGUGCUUAACACAUGCAAGUCGAACGAUGAAGCCGCUUCGGUGGUGGAUUAGUGGCGAACGGGUGAGUAACACGUGGGCAAUCUGCCCUGCACUCUGGGACAAGCCCUGGAAACGGGGUCUAAUACCGGAUAUGACACGAGGGGGCAUCUUCUCGUGUGGAAAGCUCCGGCGGUGCAGGAUGAGCCCGCGGCCUAUCAGCUUGUUGGUGGGGUGAUGGCCUACCAAGGCGACGACGGGUAGCCGGCCUGAGAGGGCGACCGGCCACACUGGGACUGAGACACGGCCCAGACUCCUACGGGAGGCAGCAGUGGGGAAUAUUGCACAAUGGGCGCAAGCCUGAUGCAGCGACGCCGCGUGAGGGAUGACGGCCUUCGGGUUGUAAACCUCUUUCAGCAGGGAAGAAGCGCAAGUGACGGUACCUGCAGAAGAAGCACCGGCUAACUACGUGCCAGCCGCCGCCGUAA